Small nucleolar RNA from Rhododendron vialii, 112 nucleotides. RefSeq annotates it as small nucleolar RNA snoR100. NCBI's taxonomy places the organism in Eukaryota, Viridiplantae, Streptophyta, Magnoliopsida, Ericales, Ericaceae. The transcript has a single exon. The record is from RefSeq and is a predicted model, not a curated record.
CAAUAAAGGAAGCAUGAGAAUGUGCAUAGAAAUUGAAUUGGGUCUCUAAGCUUGCCCUCUCUUAUUGAUGCCAUUUGGCUUUGAUUUGGGGGCAUGGUUCCGCAACAAAACA